This 80-nucleotide small nucleolar RNA is filed under the name Salmo trutta (river trout). Its description in RNAcentral is "Small nucleolar RNA SNORD35 (ENSSTUG00000008936.1)". It matches the Rfam family "Small nucleolar RNA SNORD35". Rfam says of the family: U35 is a C/D box snoRNA located in intron 6 of ribosomal protein L13A and intron 3 of ribosomal protein S11 in humans and at homologous positions in mouse and chicken ribosomal protein genes. U35 guides the methylation of 2'-O-ribose sites in 28S rRNA. Lineage: Eukaryota; Metazoa; Chordata; Actinopteri; Salmoniformes; Salmonidae. The record is from Rfam by way of RNAcentral.
UGCAAGUGAUGUUUUUCUCACAAUGGUCUUCUGAGCCUUGUGGUUGUGAUGACGCUGCCUAAUGGCAACAUUGCAGAAUA